GACGAACGCUGGCGGCGUGCUUAACACAUGCAAGUCGAACGGAAAGGCCCUGCUUUUGUGGGGUGCUCGAGUGGCGAACGGGUGAGUAACACGUAAGUAACCUGCCCUUGACUUUGGUAUAACUUCAGGAAACUGGGGCUAAUACCGGAUAGGUGCUCCUGCUGCAUUGUGUGGGUUGGAAAGUUGCGGUGGUUGGGGAUGGGCUCGCGGCUUAUCAGCUUGUUGGUGGGGUAGUGGCUGACCAAGGCGUUGUCGGGUAGCCGGCCUGAGAGGGUGACCGGGCACAUGGGGACUGAGAUACGGCCCGGACUCCUACGGGAGGCAGCAGUGGGGAAUAUUGCACGAUGGGGGGAAGCCGGAUGCAGCAACGCCGCGUGCGGGAUGACGGCCUUCGGGGUGUAAACCGCUUUCGCCUGUGAUGAAGCGUGAGUGACGGUAAUGGGUAAAGAAGCACCGGCUAACUACGUG
This 468-nucleotide ribosomal RNA is filed under the name uncultured bacterium. Its description in RNAcentral is "partial 16S ribosomal RNA". It matches the Rfam family "Bacterial small subunit ribosomal RNA", at positions 28 to 507 of the family's 1533-position model. The record is from RNAcentral.